Long non-coding RNA from Sarcophilus harrisii (Tasmanian devil), 1053 nucleotides. RefSeq lists it as uncharacterized. NCBI's taxonomy places the organism in Eukaryota, Metazoa, Chordata, Mammalia, Dasyuromorphia, Dasyuridae. The record is from RefSeq and is a predicted model, not a curated record. The transcript has 3 exons.
GAAGGUGGUUGGAGGUGGGCUUGGGGAGCUCCAAUUUAAUAUUUUCCCUUUCACUACAUUCAGUAAAGGAUCAGGUAGUAGUAUGUUAAGCAGCUGUGUCUCCUGAAUAAGGUGGGGUGUUGUCCCAGGUGUGAGAUGAGGAAAAGAGCCAUUGAGUUCGCACUCCAACAUUUUGAACAGUAGUUCAUAUUAUCCUGAUUUGAAUCAGCAUGGAUUUAGUCCAUUCAUCCCCUCAUUUUGUACCUACAUCAAUGCUGUUGGGAAGCAGUCUAGGCUUGUGCAGGCUAUGCACCUUCUGGUGGCCAAAAGGGAUACCACAGACUUUGGAGAGCUCAUCCUUUGCCCCUUUGGUUCCAGUAGAGUCCCAUCUGAUGGAGGUGUGCUUUGCCCAGGGUAACAUUUGUUGUGAUGGUGAAGAACUGAACCCCAAUCUCUUGACCUAAAAUUUAGUCCUCUUUCCACUGAACCUUAUUGCCUCUUUACUUUAGUUGGCCAUUUGUACCUGAUCAGAAAUAUUCUGAAAUGAUAUUUGAGGAUCCGUUGUGGAGAUGGACACGGCUGGUGCUUCUCUUGGGGUUGCAGGUAAAAGAGAUCAGAACCUCUGGCUUUGUGAAUCUGAAAGGUCAGGAGGACAUUUUAGCAUCCUGAUGUCAAGAUGUGGGUUCCAUGGCCAGUGAAUCAUCAGUAUCCUAAAGAGCAAGAAGUGACUUUCGGGGGGAUGAUCUUUGGAAUCCCAGCUCAGGAGCAACUGAGACAAGGACUCAUCUCAUAGAGGUGCUGUUUUUGAAUGUUAUUCAGGUGCUGUACUAAGAGACCAGAGACUGAGAUCACAUAGUGGAGGAGAAUAUACCCAUGAGAUGUUGAGGAGAAAGGUGGGGGUUACUGUUUUUAAUUUGCUUUUUCUAUAUCUUUGAAAUAAAUGUCUUUUUGUAGGAGCCAAUCUAUGAAAGGAACUGGGACAUUAAUUACUGGCAUUUAACUGUGGAGGAAAUGGGAUGGAACACAUUCAGUGGAGACUUGAGCUAGGCACAAUAGAUAAGAAAAUCCUCAGGA